GUUCCAUCCUCCUCUUUAAUACGGAGGGUGCGAGCGUUAAUCGGAAUGACUGGGCGUAAAGGGCAUGUAGGCGGGUCAUUAAGUUAGGUGUGAAAUCCCCGGGCUCAACCUGGGAACUGCACUUAAAACUGGUGGUCUGGAGUAUUGUAGAGGAAGGUAGAAUUCCACGUGUAGCGGUGAAAUGCGUAGAGAUGUGGAGGAAUACCGGUGGCGAAGGCGGCCUUCUGGACAAAUACUGACGCUGAGAUGCGAAAGCGUGGGGAGCAAACAGGAUUAGAAACCCUGGUAGUCC
RNAcentral lists this ribosomal RNA (292 nucleotides) under Serratia endosymbiont of Lasius claviger. RNAcentral describes it as "partial 16S ribosomal RNA". It matches the Rfam family "Bacterial small subunit ribosomal RNA", at positions 505 to 796 of the family's 1533-position model. The record is from RNAcentral. Lineage: Bacteria; Pseudomonadati; Pseudomonadota; Gammaproteobacteria; Enterobacterales; Yersiniaceae.